RNAcentral lists this ribosomal RNA (1979 nucleotides) under Echinopleura aculeata. RNAcentral's name for it is "SSU rRNA". Lineage: Eukaryota; Metazoa; Arthropoda; Malacostraca; Isopoda; Desmosomatidae. The record is from RNAcentral.
CAUAUGCUUGUCUCAAAGAUUAAGCCAUGCAUGUCUGAGUACAGACCGAUCUAAGGUGAAACCGCGAAUGGCUCAUUAAAUCAGUCAUAAUUCCUUGGGUAGUGAAAAACUUUCCUCGGAUAACUGUGGAAAAUCCAGAGCUAAUACGUGCAACUGAGCUCCGACCUCGGCGCGAGUCGUGGGAAGAGCGCAUUUAUUAGAUUCAAAACUGAUCGGUGUACUCCUUCGGGAUAGGCCGUUUUUCAAAAGUUUGAUGACUCCGGAUAACUUAGCCGAGCGCUACGGUCUUUAGUACCGGCGCCGUAUCUUUCAAGUGUCUGCCUUAUCAGCUUUCGAUUGUAGGUUAAACGCCUACAAUGGCUGUAACGGGUAACGGGGAAUCAGGGUUCGAUUCCGGAGAGGGAGCCUGAGAAACGGCUACCACAUCUAAGGAAGGCAGCAGGCACGCAAAUUACCCACUCCCAGCCCGGGGAGGUAGUGACGAAAAAUAACGAUGCGAGACUCUUCCGAGGCCUCGCAAUCGGAAUGAGUCCAUUUUAAAUCCUUGGACGAGGAUCCAUUGGAGGGCAAGUCUGGUGCCAGCAGCCGCGGUAAUUCCAGCUCCAAUAGCGUAUAUUAAAGUUGMUGCGGUUAAAAAGCUCGUAGUUGGACUUUCUAGAUCCAUUUCGUGGGUGAGUCGCUCUUUGUACUAACGUCUCGCUUUGUUCCUCGWUGRCGUCGUCGCGGCUUUCUCUCUUCGGAGGGAUUCCCGGCGUUGCGGAAUCUUGCGGACGGUGAGGCGUUGUCUUAGAGUAUAGCUCGUCCGCGUUUGGUACAAUUAAAAAAUUGUCGGCUCGCUCGGAGUGCUCUUUACCGAGUGUUCCAGGGUGGCUGACACGUUCACUUUGAAAAAAUUAGAGUGCUUAAAGCGGGCUUAUUUACGGCCUGAAUGUCUGUGCAUGGAAUGAAGUAACAGGACCUCGAUUCUGUUGUUUUUGUCGGUUUUAAUGAACCGAGGUAAUGAUUAAAAGGGACAGACGGUGGCAUUAGUAUUGCGACGCUAGAGGUGAAAUUCUUGGACCGUCGCAAGACUAACUACUGCGAAAGCAUUUGCCGAGAAUGUUUUCAUUAAUCAAGAACGAAAGUUAGAGGAUCGAAGGCGAUCAGAUACCGCCCUAGUUCUAACCCUAAACUAUGCUAACUAGCGAUCCGCCGGAGUCAUUCCCACGACCCGGCGGGAAGCCCCAGGGAAACCAAAGUCUUUGAGUUCCGGGGGAAGUAUGGUUGCAAAGCUGAAACUUAAAGGAAUUGACGGAAGGGCACCACCAGGAGUGGAGCCUGCGGCUUAAUUUGACUCAACACGGGAAACCUCACCAGGCCCGGACAUCAUAAGGAUUGACAGGUUGAGAGCUCUUUCUCGAUWUGAUGGGUGGUGGUGCAUGGCCGUUCUUAGUUGGUGGAGUGAUCUGUCUGGUUGAUUCCGAUAACGAACGAGACUCUACCCUACUAACUAGUCGGCGGAUCGUAACCCUGAGAUGGUUAGUCGGUAUAGGAGAGUUUGCCCAAACGAAAGUCCGGUCGAUAGGAGUAUCCGUUCAUUCGGUGCGUCUAAGAAUCGCGGCCUCGCGUAAGCUGCUUUCUGAUUGCUACUACUGCUGGGGGCGUCCGUCGCAAUGUAUCUUCUUAGAGGGAUCAGCGGCGUAUAGCCGCACGAGAAAGAGCAAUAACAGGUCUGUGAUGCCCUUAGAUGUUCUGGGCCGCACGCGCGCUACAAUGUAGGGUUCAGCGUGCUUUCCACUCUCCGAAAGGAGCGGGUAACCCGUUGAAACCCCUACCCGAUUGGGAUUGGGGAUUGCAAUUAUUUCCCAUAAACGAGGAAUUCCCAGUAAGCGCGAGUCAUUACCUCGCGCUGAUUACGUCCCUGCCCUUUGUACACACCGCCCGUCGCUACUACCGAUUGAAUGAUUCAGUGAGGGCAUCGGACUGGCCCUUCGGUUUAG